RNAcentral lists this ribosomal RNA (250 nucleotides) under uncultured bacterium. RNAcentral's name for it is "partial 16S ribosomal RNA". It matches the Rfam family "Bacterial small subunit ribosomal RNA", at positions 524 to 773 of the family's 1533-position model. The record is from RNAcentral.
GACGAACCGUCCGAACGUUAUUCGGAAUCACUGGGCUUAAAGGGUGCGUAGGCGGCGCGGAAAGUUGGGUGUGAAAUCCCUCGGCUUAACCGAGGAACUGCGCCCAAAACUACCGUGCUUGAGGGAGAUAGAGGUGAGCGGAACUUAGGGUGGAGCGGUGAAAUGCGUUGAUAUCCUAAGGAACACCGGUGGCGAAAGCGGCUCACUGGAUCUCUUCUGACGCUGAUGCACGAAAGCUAGGGUAGCGAAC